Molecule: non-coding RNA, 73 nt
Organism: Bos taurus (domestic cattle)
Lineage: Eukaryota; Metazoa; Chordata; Mammalia; Artiodactyla; Bovidae
Source: Rfam
UCUCUGGUGGUCUAGUGGCUAAGACUCCACACUCUCAGUGGAGGGGGCCCAGGUUCAAUCCCUGGUCAGGGAA